Zingiber officinale is the source of this 216-nucleotide long non-coding RNA. RefSeq lists it as uncharacterized. The transcript has 2 exons. The record is from RefSeq and is a predicted model, not a curated record. Lineage: Eukaryota; Viridiplantae; Streptophyta; Magnoliopsida; Zingiberales; Zingiberaceae.
UGGGAUUACCAUCCAGCUUUAAAUAGUUUUAACUGAUGGCUUAUGCUCUACUGUUUCUAGAUGACACAAUACAAUGUUGGAGCUUUAGUGGUGGUGAGACCCGGAGAAGAGAAGGCAAUUGCUGGAAUUGUUACUGAGAGAGAUUAUCUCCGGAAAAUGAUUGUACAAGGAAGAUCUUCCAAGUCAACUAAAGUUGGUGACAACAUGACUGUAGAG